This 534-nucleotide ribosomal RNA is filed under the name uncultured bacterium. RNAcentral describes it as "bacterial SSU rRNA". It matches the Rfam family "Bacterial small subunit ribosomal RNA", at positions 777 to 1315 of the family's 1533-position model. The record is from RNAcentral.
AAUAGAUACCCAGGUAGUCCACGCCCUAAACGAUGUCUACUAGUUGUCGGGGGGUAACUCCUUCGGUAACGCAGCUAACGCGUGAAGUAGACCGCCUGGGGAGUACGGUCGCAAGAUUAAAACUCAAAGGAAUUGACGGGGACCCGCACAAGCGGUGGAUGAUGUGGACUAAUUCGAUGCAACGCGAAAAACCUUACCUACCCUUGACAUGCCACUAACGAAGCAGAGAUGCAUUAGGUGCCCGAAAGGGAAAGUGGACACAGGUGCUGCAUGGCUGUCGUCAGCUCGUGUCGUGAGAUGUUGGGUUAAGUCCCGCAACGAGCGCAACCCUUGCCAAUAGUUGCUACGAAAGGGCACUCUAUUGGGACUGCCGGUGACAAACCGGAGGAAGGUGGGGAUGACGUCAAGUCCUCAUGGCCCUUAUGGGUAGGGCUUCACACGUCAUACAAUGGCUGGUACAGAGGGUUGCCAACCCGCGAGGGGGAGCCAAUCCCACAAAACCAGUCGUAGUCCGGAUUGCAGUCUGCAACUCGA